RNAcentral lists this ribosomal RNA (159 nucleotides) under Garcinia indica (kokum). RNAcentral describes it as "5.8S ribosomal RNA". It matches the Rfam family "5.8S ribosomal RNA". Rfam says of the family: 5.8S ribosomal RNA (5.8S rRNA) is a component of the large subunit of the eukaryotic ribosome. It is transcribed by RNA polymerase I as part of the 45S precursor that also contains 18S and 28S rRNA. The record is from RNAcentral. Lineage: Eukaryota; Viridiplantae; Streptophyta; Magnoliopsida; Malpighiales; Clusiaceae. RNAcentral also lists the same sequence under 1 other name.
CAAAACGACUCUCGGCAACGGAUAUCUCGGCUCUUGCAUCGAUGAAGAACGUAGCGAAAUGCGAUACGUGGUGUGAAUUGCAGAAUCCCGUGAACCAUCGAGUUUUUGAACGCAAGUUGCGCCCAAAGCCUUUUGGUUGAGGGCACGUCUGCCUGGGUG